UACGGAGGGUGCGAGCGUUGUCCGGAAUCACUGGGCGUAAAGGGCGCGUAGGCGGCUCAUGAAGGCUGUGGUGAAAGUCCGGGGCUCAACCUCGGAUCGGCCGUGGCGACUCGUGGGCUGGAGCACUGUAGAGGCGGGUGGAAUUCCGGGUGUAGCGGUGGAAUGCGUAGAGAUCCGGAAGAACACCAGUGGCGAAGGCGGGUCUCUGGGCAAUAACUGACGCUGAGGAGCGAAAGCGUGGGGAGCGAACAGG
RNAcentral lists this ribosomal RNA (253 nucleotides) under uncultured bacterium. Its description in RNAcentral is "partial 16S ribosomal RNA". It matches the Rfam family "Bacterial small subunit ribosomal RNA", at positions 524 to 776 of the family's 1533-position model. The record is from RNAcentral.